Molecule: ribosomal RNA, 37 nt
Filed under: Cortinarius aurantiobasis
Lineage: Eukaryota; Fungi; Basidiomycota; Agaricomycetes; Agaricales; Cortinariaceae
Description: partial 28S ribosomal RNA
Source: RNAcentral
UGGACCUCNAAUCAGGUAGGACUACCCGCUGAACUUA